RNAcentral lists this ribosomal RNA (497 nucleotides) under uncultured bacterium. RNAcentral describes it as "partial 16S ribosomal RNA". It matches the Rfam family "Bacterial small subunit ribosomal RNA", at positions 28 to 507 of the family's 1533-position model. The record is from RNAcentral.
GAUGAACGCUGGCGGCGUGCCUAAUACAUGCAAGUCGAGCGAACAGACGAGGAGCUUGCUCCUCUGACGUUAGCGGCGGACGGGUGAGUAACACGUGGAUAACCUACCUAUAAGACUGGGAUAACUUCGGGAAACCGGAGCUAAUACCGGAUAAUAUAUUGAACCGCAUGGUUCAAUAGUGAAUGACGGUUUUGCUGUCACUUAUAGAUGGAUCCGCGCCGCAUUAGCUAGUUGGUAAGGUAACGGCUUACCAAGGCAACGAUGCGUAGCCGACCUGAGAGGGUGUUCGGCCACACUGGAACUGAGACACGGUCCAGACUCCUACGGGAGGCAGCAGUAGGGAAUCUUCCGCAAUGGGCGAAAGCCUGACGGAGCAACGCCGCGUGAGUGAUGAAGGUCUUCGGAUCGUAAAACUCUGUUAUUAGUGAAGAACAAAUGUGUAAGUAACUAUGCACGUCUUGACGGUACCUAAUCAGAAAGCCACGGCUAACUACGUG